Molecule: ribosomal RNA, 497 nt
Filed under: uncultured bacterium
Lineage: Bacteria
Description: partial 16S ribosomal RNA
Rfam family: Bacterial small subunit ribosomal RNA
Source: RNAcentral
GAUGAACGCUGGCGGCGUGCCUAACACAUGCAAGUCGAGCGGACAGAUGAGGAUCUUGCGCCUCUGUCGUUAGCGGCGCACGGGUGAGUAACGUGUGUAUAACCCACUUGUAAUAGUGGGAUAACUUCGGGAAACGGGCGCUUAUACCGGAUAAUAUAUUGAACCGCGGGGUGCAUUAGUGAAAUACGGUUGUGCGGUCACUUAUAGAUGGAUCCGCGCCGCUUUGGCUGGUUGGGAAGUUAACGGGUUACCAAGGGAACGCUGCGUAGCCGACGUGAGAGGGUGAUCGCCCACACUCGAACGGAGCCACGGACCAGACUCCUGCGGGACGGCGCAGUAGGGAAUCUGCCGCAGUGGGCGAAAACCUUACACAACAACGCCGAGUGAGUGGUGAAGGUCUUCGGAUCGUAAAACUCUGUUAUUAGGGAAGAACAAAUGUCUACGUAACUAUGCCCGUCUUGACGGUACCUAAUCAGAAAGCUCCGGCUAACUACGUG